UCCCACCCUUUGUAUACCUUACCUUUUGUUGCUUUGGCGGGCCGCCUAGCUACUGGCUUCGGCUGGUAAGUGCCCGCCAGAGGACCCAAACCCAAACCCAUUUAUAGUGUCGUCUGAGAAAAAGUUUAAUAUUUAAAACUUUCAACAACGGAUCUCUUGGCUCUGGCAUCGAUGAAGAACGCAGCGAAAUGCGAUAAGUAAUGUGAAUUGCAGAAUUCAGUGAAUCAUCGAAUCUUUGAACGCACAUUGCGCCCCUUGGUAUUCCGAGGGGCAUGCCUAUUCGAGCGUCAUUAUCACCCCUCAAGCUCCGGCUUGGUGUUGAGGCCUGCUGUAAAGGCACCCUCUAAAAUCAGUGGCAGUGCCGUCAGGCUCUAAGCGUAGUAAAUUCGUCGCUAUAGGGUCCUGGUGGAUACUCGUCAAAACCCCCCCAUUUUUUUAAUGAUUGACCUCGGAUUAGGUAGGGAUACCCGCUGAACUUGAGCAUAUCAAUAA
RNAcentral lists this ribosomal RNA (492 nucleotides) under uncultured Helotiales. Its description in RNAcentral is "eukaryotic LSU rRNA". The stretch from base 137 to 290 matches the Rfam family "5.8S ribosomal RNA". Lineage: Eukaryota; Fungi; Ascomycota; Leotiomycetes; Helotiales. The record is from RNAcentral.